AUUGAACGCUGGCGGAAUGCUUUACACAUGCAAGUCGAACGGUAGAGGGGGCAACCCCUCGAGAGUGGCGAACGGGUGAGUAAUAUAUCGGAACGUGCCCAGUCGUGGGGGAUAACGUAGCGAAAGUUACGCUAAUACCGCAUACGAUCUAAGGAUGAAAGCGAGGGAUCGCAAGAACUCGCGCGAUUGGAGCGGCCGAUAUCAGAUUAGGUAGUUGGUGGGGUAAAGGCUCACCAAGCCAACGAUCUGUAGCUGGUCUGAGAGGACGACCAGCCACACUGGAACUGAGACACGGUCCAGACUCCUACGGGAGGCAGCAGUGGGGAAUCUUGGACAAUGGACGCAAGUCUGAUCCAGCCAUUCCGCGUGCAGGAUGAAGGCCCUCGGGUUGUAAACUGCUUUUGUACGGAACGAAAAGGUCUCUCUUAAUACGGGGGGCUCAUGACGGUACCGUAAGAAUAAGCACCGGCUAACUACGUGCCAGCAGCCGCGGUAA
Molecule: ribosomal RNA, 496 nt
Filed under: uncultured bacterium
Lineage: Bacteria
Description: partial 16S ribosomal RNA
Rfam family: Bacterial small subunit ribosomal RNA
Source: RNAcentral